RNAcentral lists this long non-coding RNA (291 nucleotides) under Salvia miltiorrhiza (redroot sage). RNAcentral describes it as "long non-coding RNA (SMIL_LNC007298)". The record is from RNAcentral. Lineage: Eukaryota; Viridiplantae; Streptophyta; Magnoliopsida; Lamiales; Lamiaceae.
AUCACUUCAAAAUCACUGUAACUCUCAAUACAACCUCUCUCUCUCUUAAAAGCGAGAAAUGUCAACGUGCCUCAGCUGCCACGAGCAAUUUCUCAUCUCUCCGAAUAUGCCGGUAGGUUUAAAUAUACGAUGCAUUAUUCAUUCUAAUUGAGAUUUACGAUUAAGGUUUAUUAAUAAAAAUUUAUUAGGAAAGAUGUUGUGUGAUGAAGCUAGUGGAAGGCGACUCAUCAAGGAAGAUAAUAGCAAUCAUCUGCGGAUCAAGCAAGUGGGAGAGACACAACGUGAGAAUCG